GUUUGUUUGUAUUAUUUGUAUAAGUGGAGGGUUUUUCUGCAGCUCUGUGUAUAUCUAGCAGUGUGGGAGGCUUCCCUGGGUUUUAGUGGGGACCAGGCUGGCCAGGUACAGCUCAAGGACAUAAGCUGCAACAGGAAGCUGUGGGCUGCUUUACUCCAGUGUGGAUUCCCAUUCCCAAGUGCUGGGAGGAAGUGAUCUGAGCUCACUUCCUCUAUGUGGUGCAAUGCAU
Molecule: non-coding RNA, 229 nt
Organism: Pelobates cultripes (western spadefoot toad)
Lineage: Eukaryota; Metazoa; Chordata; Amphibia; Anura; Pelobatidae
Source: the annotation of a GenBank genome assembly